GAUGAACGCUGGCGGCGUGCCUAAUACAUGCAAGUCGAGCGAACAGACGAGGAGCUUGCUCCUCUGACGUUAGCGGCGGACGGGUGAGUAACACGUGGAUAACCUACCUAUAAGACUGGGAUAACUUCGGGAAACCGGAGCUAAUACCGGAUAAUAUAUUGAACCGCAUGGUUCAAUAGUGAAAGACGGUUUUGCUGUCACUUAUAGAUGGAUCCGCGCCGCAUUAGCUAGUUGGUAAGGUAACGGCUUACCAAGGCUACGAUGCGUAGCCGACCUGAGAGGGUGAUCGGCCACACUGGAACUGAGACAGGGUCCAGACUCCUACGGGAGGCAGCAGUAGGGAAUCUUCCGCAAUGGGCGAAAGCCUGACGGAGCAACGCCGCGUGAGUGAUGAAGGUCUUCGGAUCGUAAAACUCUGUUAUUAGGGGAGAACAAAUGUGUAAGUAACUAUGCACGUCUUGACGGUACCUAAUCAGAAAGCCACGGCUAACUACGUG
Molecule: ribosomal RNA, 497 nt
Filed under: uncultured bacterium
Lineage: Bacteria
Description: partial 16S ribosomal RNA
Rfam family: Bacterial small subunit ribosomal RNA
Source: RNAcentral